This 1528-nucleotide ribosomal RNA is filed under the name Curtobacterium sp. VKM Ac-1393. RNAcentral's name for it is "bacterial SSU rRNA". It matches the Rfam family "Bacterial small subunit ribosomal RNA". Lineage: Bacteria; Bacillati; Actinomycetota; Actinomycetes; Micrococcales; Microbacteriaceae. The record is from RNAcentral.
UUUACGGAGAGUUUGAUCCUGGCUCAGGACGAACGCUGGCGGCGUGCUUAACACAUGCAAGUCGAACGAUGAUGCCCAGCUUGCUGGGUGGAUUAGUGGCGAACGGGUGAGUAACACGUGAGUAACCUGCCCCUGACUCUGGGAUAAGCGUUGGAAACGACGUCUAAUACUGGAUAUGACUGCCGGCCGCAUGGUCUGGUGGUGGAAAGAUUUUUUGGUUGGGGAUGGACUCGCGGCCUAUCAGCUUGUUGGUGAGGUAAUGGCUCACCAAGGCGACGACGGGUAGCCGGCCUGAGAGGGUGACCGGCCACACUGGGACUGAGACACGGCCCAGACUCCUACGGGAGGCAGCAGUGGGGAAUAUUGCACAAUGGGCGAAAGCCUGAUGCAGCAACGCCGCGUGAGGGAUGACGGCCUUCGGGUUGUAAACCUCUUUUAGUAGGGAAGAAGGGAGCUUGCUCUUGACGGUACCUGCAGAAAAAGCACCGGCUAACUACGUGCCAGCAGCCGCGGUAAUACGUAGGGUGCAAGCGUUGUCCGGAAUUAUUGGGCGUAAAGAGCUCGUAGGCGGUUUGUCGCGUCUGCUGUGAAAUCCCGAGGCUCAACCUCGGGCUUGCAGUGGGUACGGGCAGACUAGAGUGCGGUAGGGGAGAUUGGAAUUCCUGGUGUAGCGGUGGAAUGCGCAGAUAUCAGGAGGAACACCGAUGGCGAAGGCAGAUCUCUGGGCCGUAACUGACGCUGAGGAGCGAAAGCAUGGGGAGCGAACAGGAUUAGAUACCCUGGUAGUCCAUGCCGUAAACGUUGGGCGCUAGAUGUAGGGACCUUUCCACGGUUUCUGUGUCGUAGCUAACGCAUUAAGCGCCCCGCCUGGGGAGUACGGCCGCAAGGCUAAAACUCAAAGGAAUUGACGGGGGCCCGCACAAGCGGCGGAGCAUGCGGAUUAAUUCGAUGCAACGCGAAGAACCUUACCAAGGCUUGACAUACACCGGAAACGGCCAGAGAUGGUCGCCCCCUUGUGGUCGGUGUACAGGUGGUGCAUGGUUGUCGUCAGCUCGUGUCGUGAGAUGUUGGGUUAAGUCCCGCAACGAGCGCAACCCUCGUUCUAUGUUGCCAGCGGGUUAUGCCGGGGACUCAUAGGAGACUGCCGGGGUCAACUCGGAGGAAGGUGGGGAUGACGUCAAAUCAUCAUGCCCCUUAUGUCUUGGGCUUCACGCAUGCUACAAUGGCCGGUACAAAGGGCUGCGAUACCGUAAGGUGGAGCGAAUCCCAAAAAGCCGGUCUCAGUUCGGAUUGAGGUCUGCAACUCGACCUCAUGAAGUCGGAGUCGCUAGUAAUCGCAGAUCAGCAACGCUGCGGUGAAUACGUUCCCGGGCCUUGUACACACCGCCCGUCAAGUCAUGAAAGUCGGUAACACCCGAAGCCGGUGGCCUAACCCUUGUGGAAGGAGCCGUCGAAGGUGGGAUCGGUGAUUAGGACUAAGUCGUAACAAGGUAGCCGUACCGGAAGGUGCGGCUGGAUCACCUCCUUU